UGAGGAAGUUACAUUUCCAAAUCACAAUCUGCCUACAGCAAGAAGAAAAAUAUCAGAUUCUGAAUGCAGGAUAUGUCCCACCAGUCUCUUCCAGAUUAAACAAUCGGAUUUAAUCUUUCGUCAGACACAACUAAAUCCAAGAACAUCAAAGUGCGAAGAUGCUUCCCUUGAAGAUGAAACUCUUCAUCCUAUUUUUCUUAAUUUUUGCCACAAUCAUCGGAAUGUUUUAUGGAAAUUCAUACAUUUUAACUGUAUACCAGCAUUCCUUCUUCUAUCGCAAUACAAGUCUUUGUGCCUGUGACAAAUGUUUAAUGGAAUACGAUCCAUGGCUUAGUGAGCUUAUGGAAGCAUCUCCUGAGCCCUUUUUGUCAGCCACAAACAAUAUAUCAGAGGAUAUUUUUAACUGGUGGAAGCGAAUACAACGGGACAAACGCAAAUAUACUUUCUACAAUAAAACCGUGGAUAAGAUGUUUCACAUCUUCCCACCCAAUGUGGGUUUUACAAGACCCAGCCCUGACCUCUG
Haplochromis burtoni (Burton's mouthbrooder) is the source of this 523-nucleotide long non-coding RNA. RefSeq lists it as uncharacterized. The record is from RefSeq and is a predicted model, not a curated record. NCBI's taxonomy places the organism in Eukaryota, Metazoa, Chordata, Actinopteri, Cichliformes, Cichlidae. The transcript has 3 exons.